GUGGGGAAUCUUCCGCAAUGGACGAAAGUCUGACGGAGCAACGCCGCGUGAGUGAAGAAGGUUUUCGGAUCGUAAAGCUCUUUCGUUAGGGACGAACGUGCUCUUUGUGAAUAAUGAGGAGUAAUGACGGUACCUAAAUAAGAAGCCACGGCUAACUACGUGCCAGCAGCCGCGGUAAUACGUAGGUGGCAAGCGUUGUCCGGAAUUAUUGGGCGUAAAGCGCGCGCAGGCGGGAUAUCAAGUCUGUCUUAAAAGUGCGAGGCUCAACCUCGUGAGGGGACAGAAACUGGGAUUCUUGAGUGUCGGAGAGGAAAGUGGAAUUCCAAGUGUAGCGGUGAAAUGCGUAGAGAUUUGGAAGAACACCAGUGGCGAAGGCGACUUUCUGGACGAUGUCUGACGCUGAGGCGCGAAAGCUAGGGGAGCGAACGGGAUUAGAAACCCGAGUAGUCC
This 450-nucleotide ribosomal RNA is filed under the name uncultured bacterium. Its description in RNAcentral is "partial 16S ribosomal RNA". It matches the Rfam family "Bacterial small subunit ribosomal RNA", at positions 354 to 796 of the family's 1533-position model. The record is from RNAcentral.